RNAcentral lists this ribosomal RNA (439 nucleotides) under uncultured bacterium. RNAcentral describes it as "partial 16S ribosomal RNA". It matches the Rfam family "Bacterial small subunit ribosomal RNA", at positions 339 to 795 of the family's 1533-position model. The record is from RNAcentral.
CUACGGGGGGCACCAGUGAGGAAUAUUGCACAAUGGGGGGAACCCUGAUGCAGCAACGCCGCGUGGAGGAUGACGCAUUUCGGUGUGUAAACUCCUUUUAUAUGUCAAGAAAAUGACGGUAGCAUAUGAAUAAGCACCGGCUAACCCCGUGCCAGCAGCCGCGGUAAUACGGAGGGUGCAAGCGUUACUCGGAAUCACUGGGCGUAAAGGACGCGUAGGCGGGUUGGAAAGUCAGGUGUGAAAUCCUACAGCUUAACUGUAGAACUGCACUUGAAACUUCUAAUCUAGAGUAUGGGAGGGGGAGAUGGAAUUAGUGGUGUAGGGGUAAAAGCCGUAGAUAUCACUAGGAAUACCUAAAGCGAAGGCGAUCUCCUGGAACAUUACUGACGCUAAGGCGUGAAAGCGUGGGGAGCAAACAGGAUUAGAUACCCUUGUAGUC